Molecule: non-coding RNA, 23 nt
Filed under: Arabidopsis thaliana (thale cress)
Lineage: Eukaryota; Viridiplantae; Streptophyta; Magnoliopsida; Brassicales; Brassicaceae
Source: RNAcentral
CUUAAGAUGAGUGUUAAAAGCAU